Molecule: unclassified non-coding RNA, 227 nt
Filed under: uncultured Actinomycetes bacterium
Lineage: Bacteria; Bacillati; Actinomycetota; Actinomycetes
Description: uncultured actinobacterium contains 16S-23S intergenic spacer region
Rfam family: Bacterial small subunit ribosomal RNA
Source: RNAcentral
AAGGCUUGACAUACACCGGAAAGCAUUAGAGAUAGUGCCCCCCUUGUGGUCGGUGUACAGGUGGUGCAUGGCUGUCGUCAGCUCGUGUCGUGAGAUGUUGGGUUAAGUCCCGCAACGAGCGCAACCCUUGUUCUGUGUUGCCAGCAUGCCCUUCGGGGUGAUGGGGACUCACAGGAGACCGCCGGGGUCAACUCGGAGGAAGGUGGGGAUGACGUCAGUGCUUGCCU